UCUAUUUUGGCAGAUAAGUGCAAUGGAUUUAGGAUCCAUUUAUGUAAAGGUAUUUUACAGAUAGAA
RNAcentral lists this transfer RNA (66 nucleotides) under Sweltsa longistyla. RNAcentral's name for it is "tRNA-Leu". Lineage: Eukaryota; Metazoa; Arthropoda; Insecta; Plecoptera; Chloroperlidae. The record is from RNAcentral.